AUUAUAUUGCGGGGGAACUAUAUGGGCUGCGGUCCACAUGAGUUGAGAAGGUUAAAACCUGACCCUUUGAACCUGUCAGUUAAUACUGGCGAAGGGAAGCAAAUUGUUACAUGAA
Molecule: non-coding RNA, 115 nt
Filed under: Sporanaerobacter sp. PP17-6a
Lineage: Bacteria; Bacillati; Bacillota; Tissierellia; Tissierellales; Sporanaerobacteraceae
Also listed under: 1 other name
Description: TPP riboswitch aptamer (THI element)
Rfam family: TPP riboswitch aptamer (THI element)
About the family: Vitamin B(1) in its active form thiamin pyrophosphate (TPP) is an essential coenzyme that is synthesised by coupling of pyrimidine and thiazole moieties in bacteria. The previously detected thiamin-regulatory element, thi box was extended, resulting in a new, highly conserved RNA secondary structure, the THI element, which is widely distributed in eubacteria and also occurs in some archaea.
Source: Rfam by way of RNAcentral